Molecule: long non-coding RNA, 405 nt
Organism: Tachysurus fulvidraco (yellow catfish)
Lineage: Eukaryota; Metazoa; Chordata; Actinopteri; Siluriformes; Bagridae
Exons: 2
Source: RefSeq, a predicted model, not a curated record
ACCUAAAGCCGCAACAAUACCGCGCAUGCGCAAAAUAUGCUAUCGGGCCGGGUUUGGCUGACGCCUGGAGCUGAGCGGCUGCAAGCAGCAGUGGCGUUUUCGCUCUUCUCUCCGUUCACCGACACCUUGGACACCUUGUUGCGUGAGUGCACAUGUACACUGAGAUCUUCAACAAAGUCAUCUCUCCUGUCCUGGCGAGUGGAUUUUUAUACAUUUAACACAUCGCUGAAUACACUGUACCUAAGCACAGAGAUUUUAUUGAGCUUUAAAGAAGGAUUUGGACGAACAGCUCAACCAUGUCAAAGCUCCCUGGCAUGAAGUGCAGGUCAGCCUGGGCCACAUGCCCAGUGUUCGUGUCUAUCACAUUGUUGGUGGUCUCACCAGAAUAAAACCUGUGUCAUGGUG